This is a small nucleolar RNA of Erinaceus europaeus (western European hedgehog), 133 nucleotides long. The record is from Ensembl. Lineage: Eukaryota; Metazoa; Chordata; Mammalia; Eulipotyphla; Erinaceidae.
AUCCAUGUAUCUUUGGGACCUGCCAGACUGUGGCAGGCUUCCCUUCCUAGGCAUGGGAGAGCAUAAUCUUGUAUAUUGGCAUAGCUGACACCAUUUCAUUGGUAUCAGAUUCUGACUUGCACAAGUGACAUUC